AGAAGGGCUGAAGCUCAGUGGUAGGUCAUCUGCUUUGCAUGCAGAAGGUCUCAGGUUCAAUCCCUUGCCCAUCCA
This is a non-coding RNA of Podarcis lilfordi (Lilford's wall lizard), 75 nucleotides long. The record is from the annotation of a GenBank genome assembly. Lineage: Eukaryota; Metazoa; Chordata; Lepidosauria; Squamata; Lacertidae.